This is a long non-coding RNA of Vicia villosa (hairy vetch), 549 nucleotides long. RefSeq lists it as uncharacterized. The record is from RefSeq and is a predicted model, not a curated record. The transcript is spliced from 3 exons. NCBI's taxonomy places the organism in Eukaryota, Viridiplantae, Streptophyta, Magnoliopsida, Fabales, Fabaceae.
UCAAAUUUCACGAAUCACGUUCUUUCCAAAAAGAACCCUAAUUUCGUUUUCCCCCAAUUUCUUCUUCCCUCAAUUUCUUGAUGAAACCAUUUAGCUAGCAAUUCAACUCAACGUUUUGGUGCUACAAUCGCAAUUCAACUCAACGUUUCGGGGCUACAAUCGCAAUUCAUCUCAGCAUCGCAAAUUCAAAUCAGCAUCGCAACUCAACGUUUCGUAUUCUCGUAAUCGUUGGCUUCUUACUCGAUAUCAUUGGGUUGUUUAUAGCUAUCGCUUGACAUUGCUUUGAUUUCCAAGUUCUACAAAGCUAAAAAGGUUCUUUAACUUGAAGAUGAGCAAUGAUGAGAAUGGCAUGCAAAGAAGAGGUCGAAAGGUGAAGAAAUUGAGUGGCUCAAAUCAGUUGAAAUUCUCUUGUAGCUUAAGGACUUUGAUUUUAUGCAACUCGAAUUCAACUUGUUUCAACUUGGGAUAUGUAGCUAGUAGUCUAGUACUGUAUGUAAUCUUGAAUUUGAAUCUUGUUUCACUUAGAAAUUCUCUUUUGUAAUUCAAGAA